This 1917-nucleotide ribosomal RNA is filed under the name Triticum aestivum (bread wheat). RNAcentral describes it as "partial small subunit ribosomal RNA". Lineage: Eukaryota; Viridiplantae; Streptophyta; Magnoliopsida; Poales; Poaceae. The record is from RNAcentral.
AUGCCAGGAAGGAGUAGAAAGAAGGUGAAGGCUACCUUGAUCGAUGUAUGUGAUGAUCAAACAAAUGAUGCUCCUACAAUUGUCACCCCAACAAAUCCCAGGAGAAUGUUCACAACCAUUCCACCAAGCUUGGAAAAUAGUCCUAGGCCAGUCAUGAGAAGAUGGUCAAUCUUCGACGCAUACAACCUCUCCAAGGAAAAUAACUCCCAAGAGAACUACUACAUCAACUCUCAAAAAGAUAAUCCCAAGAGGGAGCGCCCAGAGCGUGACACGUGCGGGCGGCUGAGAGCGCGCCAAGUGACGCUGGUUGUUGUGAGGCUCCCGAAGGAGCGCUCGUCAACUAGUUUCGAGGUCUGUUGCUUGGGCCUUAUUUCCUUGAGCUCAACCCAUCCCCCGGGCCCAAACCUCUGCGUCCAACCUUCUUUCGCACCCGUGCAGUCUGCGACGCGCGGUUGUGGGGUGGCGCAGGCGUGCCGCCGCCGCGGCCAGGAAGCCGCGUCCGGCGCCCCCGAACUGCCGCCCUCGUCUGUUUGCACCGUGUCCCUUGUCUCACCUCCCUACGCGGCCACUAAACGCCGUAGCCACGAAGUUCCGUCGCCUCCGCUCGGAGACCGCUUCCGGAAGAUAGGCAGAGAUUUGUCAUUGCGGGGGCUUCGCCACGCCCCCCGGGUGCAGGACAACUGGUCUAUUUGGAGAUUCGUCGACCACAUCGCUGGAAUUUUCUCCAUCUUUACCAACUCCGGUCGCCAUCAGAAUUAUGUGAUUUGUGAUGUUCCUACCAACCCGGAGUUUAAGUUAUAUGAACUCGCCCCCAAGACCUUGUUGGCCGAAAACAUUGCUGACCAUAGGCGAGGAAGGUCGCAAGUUUUCGCCACACCAUUUAUCUCCACUUCUAUAGAGGGCCACUUGCCCCCUCGCCUUGGCUCGAAGAGCGCCUUACCGCAGAAGACCCUAGUUCCUAAGGUGGUGCCUCCAAUAAGGAGUUGCACUUGCUGGAAUGACACCAAAGAGCAUCGCUGUCGCCCGACACUGGUAGUGCGGCAAGAUUUUCACUUUGGUACCAUGACCACCAUUAAUGAAAUUGCACAGGCCCAAGUGACCCACAUAUGUCAUCUCACCGCCCUCAUGAUCAAGAUAGCUGACCAACACCACACAUUGUGGCACCCGCCGCUCAGGGCUGCUGGCCCGACUUCCAAGAAUUCCUACCUUCACCGCCUCCCAGUGGACUAUGGGCCACCUACGCAUAGUCGGCCAUCACAGCUAUCGCGCCAACACUCCCUCAAAAUAUCCUACCUGCACCAUCCACUCGCCGUGCCAACACCGACAAACAACAACCAUGACAAUCACGUGGUUGCCCCUACAAUGACGGGCCGACACACAGUAGAUAUGCAUUCCUAUGCCGACAAGGAAAACUGGGAACUCGCGGAUGGAAUGUCCAUGACCUGCAAACCGAGCAUGUCUGGGUCAUGGUAUCUGCUGCGGGCACCGGACAACCAGCCAAGGAGGCUUACUGGCUAUGGCCCCCACUCCCAAAAUCCAUCCGACGGAGUCGAAGACACACGUCCUCUCUCAAUCCCAUCAUGUGAUCCAUGUGAAUUAGUUGUUGGGCUCUGCAACUACAUCAUGUCGAUCGGUGAUGCUGGGUGUUUGGAGAAGGAAUGGGUGCGAAGUUCGACACCCCAUCCAAUGGGCUUAAGUGUGAGAAAACUUCAGGGCAUACCUAACAUAGAGCAGUCUAUGGGCAAUGAUUGUUUCAACAUGGCCGUGUGUAUACUGGCAUGCGAUGAGGUCUUAUUGUCCAUAGUCCAUCCUAUACACUUCAUGGAUAUACAAUUUUGUUCCAUGAUGUUAGGAUUCAACACGAGAUAUGAAGUUUCACGUGAAGCCAAAUAUCCAGAUGCUGGGAACACUGUUUGA